RNAcentral lists this ribosomal RNA (429 nucleotides) under Pseudomonadota bacterium. RNAcentral describes it as "Proteobacteria bacterium partial 16S ribosomal RNA". It matches the Rfam family "Bacterial small subunit ribosomal RNA", at positions 355 to 776 of the family's 1533-position model. Lineage: Bacteria; Pseudomonadati; Pseudomonadota. The record is from RNAcentral.
UGGGGAAUAUUGGACAAUGGGCGAAAGCCUGAUCCAGCCAUGCCGCGUGUGUGAAGAAGGUCUUCGGAUUGUAAAGCACUUUAAGUUGGGAGGAAGGGCAGUAAGCGAAUACCUUGCUGUUUUGACGUUACCGACAGAAUAAGCACCGGCUAACUCUGUGCCAGCAGCCGCGGUAAUACAGAGGGUGCAAGCGUUAAUCGGAAUUACUGGGCGUAAAGCGCGCGUAGGUGGUUCGUUAAGUUGAAUGUGAAAGCCCCGGGCUCAACCUGGGAACUGCAUCCAAAACUGGCGAGCUAGAGUAGGGCAGAGGGUGGUGGAAUUUCCUGUGUAGCGGUGAAAUGCGUAGAUAUAGGAAGGAGCACCAGUUGCGAAGGCGACCGCCUGGGCUCAUACUGACACUGAGGUGCGAAAGCGUGGGGAGCAAACAGG